RNAcentral lists this long non-coding RNA (1954 nucleotides) under Nicotiana tabacum (common tobacco). Its description in RNAcentral is "long non-coding RNA (NTAB_LNC001636)". The record is from RNAcentral. Lineage: Eukaryota; Viridiplantae; Streptophyta; Magnoliopsida; Solanales; Solanaceae.
UGGUGUAAUUAACAAUCUAUUACAGUGAUCCCAUGACACACAUUGUCCAAAUAACCAUUUCAGUAACCUUGAACCUAUAUGAUGAGAACUUCAAUUCAUUUGAAUCCAAACCUCACACUCAUACUCUUUCAGAAUCAAACCAACAAGUAGACAUAAAUUCACUUUACGAUAUUCAACAACAUGAGAAAGGGCUAGACUAAACAUGCAUAAUAUAGGAUUACAUACUUAAUAAUACUGAAAUUGACGAAAUAGUAGAAAUAAACUUGAAAUACAACUUGUAUCCUAAGUGUUUCACAUUCAAAGUGCAGAUUCACAUUCACAUGUUGUCUAUGGUUCCAAAAGAUACCUGGAAAGCAAAGAAAAAUAGGAAAAAUGAAUCCAACAGUGUUUACACAAUUGAAUUCAUAGUGCAGAUUCACAUUUACAUUCACACUCACAUGCAAUAUAACAGUGUUUACACAAUUGAAUGCAACCCAAACUUCCAAAAACCAGCUCCCAGCAGCUCAAACCAAACUUCUAAACCCUGAUUAAAGCCAUGUUUCCACACAGAUGCAUAAUUUUGGAAUUUUUUUCAGAAAAGUUCUAGAGUAACAAAAGAUUCAGAGAGCCAUAACCAAGAAACUAAAACUAGUUUAAACAAUUUUCAACAUUUCUCGGAAUUUUCAGAAGGAAAUUAGUUACUUCUCCAAUUCAGUACUUUUUCUGAACUUUUCAGUUUCUCUAGGGUGUAAAAAUUGUCUGUUGAGUGAAACAAAGGCUUCAUUUAUAAGGUUGGGGGUCUGUUGUGUGCCUUCCAAGGCAAGGUAAUGUGAUUUUCCCAAAAUACCCUCACAGGGCAUCUUUUAAAACUGACUUUUGUACAACUGUCCUUUUUUCCAGAUAUUUUCAUUUUUCAGCCUGUUUUCCCUAACAAUUUUGGGCAGCUGUCCAUUUAGGAAGCUUCCCAAUCAGUUAUUAAAAGAUUCCCCAAGUUAAAUCAAUCCCUAUAUUACCCCCUUAAGUUCUUAGUUAUUCAAUUAAAACCUUGAAGGUUAUGUUAUUCCCCAAAUCAAGACUAACACAUUUAGGCACAGAACACAUCGACAUUCAACAGUCAUUAAGCAUUUUUAAAUCUAACCAAAACAAAGUAAUCCGGCUAACAAAGUCACUUACAUAUAAGAUUAAAUAGUUUUCAGAAAUGAAUCUAAACUAAAUAUGCCAAUUGAGUAGGGAAACAAAUAUGAAGAGCAAGAUUAACCAAAGACUAGUUAGAGUGCACAAAGUCCAAAUUCAGAAUGCUUUUGUUUUGUUUUAUCAAUGGACUCAGAAUUACCAUAAAAAUCAGAAUUAAGACCUUUAUAAUUUCAGAAAAAGAAAACAAUAAGAAGUAUUCGUUGAACACCAAAACAUUUGGACUUCAAAAUGGCGUUUGGUCUGGUUAGAGGCAGAAUUCGGCAAGCUAAAUGAGCUUCGGCGAGUAAUGAAAAUUAUCACACGAGCACUGGCCGAAAAUUCUUCGCACAACCAAUGCUAUAUGUAGCAAUUUUCAUCGCACACCGAAGAGAAAAAAUGGAGAAGAACGUUCGAACGGGUUCUGGUCGGUCAAUGGAACUUUGAACAGACUCAAAUAGCUAUAAGGAGAAGUAAAAAUGCUCACAAUCAUGGUAUUCAGCGAAUGAGCUCGAUUGGUGUAAGUUCCGACAUCAAAAGGGGCUAAAGGAAACAAAAGAGAUAUGUAAAAGAGAUGAGCUAGGUUAUGGCAGUUUCAGAUUUGAGAUUUGAUGGCCUUGGUGAAGAUUUUAGGGGAGCUAGUUGGAGAUUCACGAUGAGGAAAGGCUGGGGAUUAUAGGGUGGAGAUUUGGAACAAUUUGGUGGUGAGCCGCCGGUGGAGAUGGUGGGGCAUUCUAGAGUGGCUCUAGGGUUUCCAGUGGUCUCUGAAGAAGAGUGAUUUGAGAGAGACGAUGAGAAAGGGGGG